This 220-nucleotide unclassified non-coding RNA is filed under the name Hevea brasiliensis (rubber tree). The record is from RNAcentral. Lineage: Eukaryota; Viridiplantae; Streptophyta; Magnoliopsida; Malpighiales; Euphorbiaceae.
GUGAUGCAAAAGACUCAUGACCCUUCAAAACAUAUAACACGUUGAUAGAAGUUAAGAGCAAGGUACAAUUCUUCUUGCAAACAUGUUAUACGAACUUCUGUCACAUUCAAUGAUGGAUCUCCUAUGAAAAAACAGUACCCAUCCAUGAAAAUGGCUUGAAACUCCUACGUUUCUUGGAUUAUAAGAUAUACAUGAAAAUAGUGUAUCGAGUGCACUGAAC